RNAcentral lists this ribosomal RNA (752 nucleotides) under uncultured organism. RNAcentral's name for it is "SSU rRNA". It matches the Rfam family "Bacterial small subunit ribosomal RNA", at positions 699 to 1464 of the family's 1533-position model. The record is from RNAcentral.
AUACAGAACACCGAUUGCGAAGGCAGCUUACCAAACUAUAUCUGACGUUGAGGCACGAAAGCGUGGGGAGCAAACAGGAUUAGAUACCCUGGUAGUCCACGCAGUAAACGAUGAUAACUCGUUGUCGGCGAUACACAGUCGGUGACUAAGCGAAAGCGAUAAGUUAUCCACCUGGGGAGUACGUUCGCAAGAAUGAAACUCAAAGGAAUUGACGGGGGCCCGCACAAGCGGAGGAACAUGUGGUUUAAUUCGAUGAUACGCGAGGAACCUUACCCGGGCUUGAAAGUUACUGACGAUUCUGGAAACAGGAUUUCCCUUUGGGGCAGGAAACUAGGUGCUGCAUGGUUGUCGUCAGCUCGUGCCGUGAGGUGUCGGGUUAAGUCCCAUAACGAGCGCAACCCCUACCGUUAGUUGCCAUCAGGUCAAGCUGGGCACUCUGGCGGGACUGCCGGUGUAAGCCGAGAGGAAGGUGGGGAUGACGUCAAAUCAGCACGGCCCUUACGUCCGGGGCUACACACGUGUUACAAUGGUAGGUACAGAGGGUCGCUACCCCGCGAGGGGAUGCCAAUCUCGAAAGCCUAUCUCAGUUCGGAUUGGAGGCUGAAACCCGCCUCCAUGAAGUUGGAUUCGCUAGUAAUCGCGCAUCAGCCAUGGCGCGGUGAAUACGUUCCCGGGCCUUGUACACACCGCCCGUCAAGCCAUGGAAGCUGGGGGUGCAAAGAGUUCGUGACCGCAAGGAGCGACCUAGGGCA